CACUUACCGACAAACAGCACAGGUAAGCGGGUAGCAAGCAAUACAGGAAGUAUUGCAUCUACAAUAGAACUCUACUGAAAAAUAUGGACGGCAGACCCGCCCUUGGAAAAGUGGAAGAUCUCGCCACUUUGGCGAAACUCGACGAUAAAGUUCUUCUUGAGGAAUUACGAGCAAGAUACAGAAAUAAUGACAUAUACACUUAUGUCGGAGACAUAUUGAUAGCAGUGAACCCUUUCCGGGAGAUUCCAGGGCUGUAUGAGGAUUCUGAAAGUCAGCGAUAUUUCUUGGAGCAAAAGAGCUCCAAUCCGCCACACAUAUUUGCUAUUGCGGAUUCGACAUACCAGAAUAUCAUCGGCUAUGGAGGACGUGUUCCACAUAACCAGUGUGUGCUUAUCAGUGGGGAAAGUGGAGCGGGAAAGACAGAGAGCACCAAGCUCAUCAUCAAACAGUUGGUCGAGCUUUGUAGGGGCAACACACAGCUGGAACAACAAAUUUUACAGGUUAAUCCCCUCCUGGAGUCCUUUGGAAAUGCCCAGACUCUAAUGAACGACAACUCCAGCCGGUUUGGGAAAUACAUACAGCUCAUGUUUAAAGAAGGACAUAUAAUGGGAGCAAAGAUAUCGGAAUACCUGCUGGAGAAGUCGAGGGUUGUCAGUCAGGGGAAGAACGAGGAGAAUUUCCACAUAUUCUACUACAUGUUUGCUGGUUUAUCCAAAGAGUACAAGGCAGCUCAUCAUCUCCAGUCGGCAGAUAAGUUCAGGUAUCUGACCAAUGGGGCGUCGUCCCUGAGCAGAGACCCCGCCCUCAUGAAGAGUCGAUACGAGGAGUUGGUCAAUGCCAUGGAUAUGGUGGGAUUCACGGAUGAGGAUCAGAUGAGUACGUUCAACAUGAUAGCCAGUGUACUACACCUGGGAAAUGUCACAUUUGACAUGGAUGAUAACGAUGCUGCCUUUGUUAAGGACGAGGAUGGAGCAGUCAAAGUGGCCUCUCAACUUCUGGGUAUCAACACACAGGAAGUGGUGGGGACGCUCACCGCAAUGGUCACAUUCACCCGCGGAGAACAGGUCAAGCGCAACUACAGUGCUGAGCAAGCUAGAGAUGCAUGUGAUGCCAUGGCCAAGGCUAUCUACGGCCGACUUUUUGGAUGGAUCGUCAACAAAGUAAACCAGUUACUGGCCCCUCCUGUGAUGCACGCAGAACAUAAAGAGAUUGGUAUUCUGGACAUCUUUGGUUUUGAACAUUUUGAGAAGAACAGCUUUGAACAAGCAUGCAUCAAUCUGGCGAACGAACAGCUGCAGUUUUUCUUCAAUCAGCAUGUGUUCAAACUGGAGCAGGAUGAGUAUACAAAGGAGGGUAUCGACUGGACGGAGAUCAAAUUCGUGGAUAAUCAACCUCUCCUGAAUUUGUUCCUGAACAAACCCAUUGGAAUCCUAUCACUGCUGGAUGAAGAGACCAACUUCCCAAAGGGAUCAGAUAGGUCCUUUGUUGACAAACUGGAUAUUCAUUUCCAUGGCAACGGUUACUAUACAAAGUCACAGCAGAGUACAUCAGGAAAAUUCACAAUCCAUCAUUAUGCUGGCAAGGUGACCUAUGACUCUUCGUCCUGGCUGGAAAAGAAUCGAGACACCCUUCCUCCGGGCGUCAUGGAGAUGUUACAGGGCAGUACAGACGACCUUGUCAAGCUCAUGUUCAGAGGUCAGGUGACCAGAACAGGAAGUUUAGCUCUUCAAUGCAGAAAGUCUACAAGCAGACGGACACGCAGAAGCAAGAAACCAUCAAUGUACGGACGCAAAAGAAAAAUCACUGUUGGAGGUCAGUUCAAGAACUCCUUACAAAUACUCAUGGAGAGAAUGAUGUCUUCCUCGCCCGUGUUUGUGCGAUGCUUGAAGCCAAACCAUGUCAAGGUUCCCGGCAAGUUUGACGAAACGUACAUCAGAGAUCAGUUGUUAUACACUGGAAUGCUGGAGACAAUCAAGAUUAGAAGAGAGGGGUUCGCAGUCCGUCCAUCCUUCCCGGAAUUUGUGGAAAAAUACAAGAUUAUCCUGUGUAAACCGAGUCUGGAGGGUAACAAACAAAACUGUGUGCAGAUUCUCAAGGCCAGUAAAAUCACCGGGUGGCAAGUCGGGAAAACCAGAGUUUUUAUGAAGUACUAUCACCUUGAACAGUUGUCUGAAAUCUUCAAGGUUAUGGGGAAGUCUGCUAUUCAUCUUCAGAGAGUUGUGAGAGGUUUCCUGGCCCGACAAUAUGUCAAAGUAAAGAAGCAGGAGGCACAGAAGCAAGCACAGCGUUUGCACAAUUUCCUCGCUCAGAUAAACAACCUGUCUAUAGAAUUCAGCAACCACCAACACAGUGCCCGGGUCCACGACGAAUCAAUCCCUGCUUCUUAUUUUACAGGAGGAGAGAAUGAGUUACCUCCCCCUCCUGUUCCUUCUUUUUAUGGUGUGCUUACUCCUCGAAGCUCGGGGAACAAGUACAUGGACCCUGUUGCUCCCACUUCUCGUGAAUUCGGCACACAGGCGGACGAUUCCGAUUCCGAUCAGUUUUCUGACGAUGAGUUCAAACCUGUAUCGUCCACCCAAUUUGGUACACCAGGAACACGUCAGGCAACCGUGAAAUGGUUCAAGGAGACACAAGCCCAGCAGGUUUACGACCCAGCAGUCAGCAGCUUCAUCGCCGAGUGGUUCCAUGGAGUCAUCAGUCGGAGAACCUCUGAGAUCCUUCUGGGCUCCAAACCGAUUGGCUGUUUCCUAAUACGAGUCAGUGAAAGCCGAUUUGGGUACAGCUUAUCAUUCAGGGGUGAGGGUAGAGUAAGACAUUACAUGAUUGAUCAACUACCCAAUAAAAAGUUUGUGGUUGUGGGCGAGAAAAAGGUGCAUCGAACACUGAAGGAUCUGGCCGACUACUACAGCACGAAUCAUCUCUCUAAUUGGGAUGGAUUUUUGUCUAAUCCUUGUGGACAGGAGGAAGGGGACUGUGAUUACCAAGAACUGAUAGCCGACAACUACUAUUUUAAGCUUGAGAGUCAGCAGGAACCACCCAAGAGGCCGAUCUCUUCAGGCCCUAGAAGACAACAGGCCAGUAGAGUAAGGGGAAGUUAUAUCCCCGGUGUUCCACCCCAGAGAGACUCUACUGUGUCAGGACCCCCAAUUCCGGACCGUAAGUACACCAUGCCAAACAAUUCGGCUGGCAAGAGCGGUGUGCGCUCGUCUACGGCAAUGAGCGGAAGACCUCUCCCAAAACGACCUGACGAAGCCCACAAGAGGCUUCUCCAAAAUCAGUUCAAUGACCAGCAAGAAGACUAGUGCCGAUGGCGUCCAUUCUAUAUUUGGAUGUUGAACUUGGUCAACGGUCAUAAGUUAGCUGGAACGACAGCGGACCCAGUUCGACUAUUGAUGGGAGUUGCAACUAUGGAAGUUAGUGCUGAACUAAAAUGUAGCAUCAUACUCACGAUUCGUUCUACAUCAGUGACGAAACCUUCUGUUAUCAGAUUAAGUCUGACUGCUUAGUUGAAGAAACUUUGUCCAAUUUCGGUGAUGUUAUAUAUUUGCUUUGUUAGUGUGCAAACAGUUAAUAUACGAAAAGUGCAUAUAUACUCAGUUGCUUGAUUAAAACAUUUAUGGUACCCUAUCAUCACUUACUCUUUCCAUUUACAUAAAACUAAGGAAACGACCCAUUUUCACUUUCAAACCCAACGCAAGGUAAUGUGAUGUUUAAAAUAUACACUAUGAUUUCUUUUAAUACUUCACUGGACUAUCAACUUGUAUUCAUAUUCAUAAUUCCGGGUUAUCUCAUUGUAUUGUCUGGAACUGUAUACUUUCAAGGAUGUCUCAUGUUGCUGUAUUACAAUUCACUUAAAAGAAACACAUAUAUAAGCACAAAUUUAUAUCACAUUGUAUAGUGCAUUUCUAUGUAAAACAAACAUGCGUGAUAUACGAUAUCGUUUAAAUUUAUCUGUUAUAACAAAAUAUAUUCAUUUAGUAACAUACUGUAAAAGUCUUAUCUUAUCGAACUCAAAUUUCAGCGUAUUAUGGUUUCUUAAAUCAUUAGCGCGUUGAUGAAUUGGCGCACUUGCACCCGAUAUGCAAAUGCAAUUGGAAACUAUGUACAGAAACUUCAAUUAGGGCAGUCAUAAUAUAGUGCAAUAUUGAAUUUCGAAAAGCGGUGAAAUUAGAAUACCGCUAAAAUAUGUACGUUUACAAUAUCUGAAAUCAUACAACUUCAUUGUCACUCUCUUGUUUUCAGUAUGAAAUUUGUUAAUGUAUAUUUUCUAUGCUUUUUUUGCCUGUCUGUUGACUUUGUUGCAAUUAUGUAUUUAUAUAUAGGCGUACGAUUUUCCAUUAUGUAUUCACAAUAUCUUAACAAUUAAAUAUUUUAAUGUAUUAUACCUUUAUGCAUACAUUUUUAAUAUGUAUAGUACAUAUACUGAUCUGAGCUCUAUGGAUAGCUCGUUGUUGUUGUGCAAUUUCAUUUUUUUUUUAUUUAGAUAACUUUGAAACUCCAACUUUAGAAUAUAAUUAUUUGAAAGAAUGAUUCAAAUUUCUUUUUGGAAAUGAAUCAUCUCAAGCGUGUUUUCCCAUGAAAAAACAUGUUACUUUAAUAAUUCUUAUAAUUAUUAUUUUUAAUUAUUCUUAUAACACGCGUUAAAUGGUGAUAAUUUUGCAUAUGACUUAAUGGUGUAAAAGAGUUUAAAAUUCAAACCUGCAUGUGUCGUCACAGUUGUUUUGUCUUUUUUUCUCCUAAUGUUUAGAACUGCGUCUUUAAGAUAACAUAUUUUUAAAAACAUAUACUGUUACUGAUGUUGUAUAUUGUCAGUACUAACAGCUCAUCACUGCUGUGAUAUACAUAAGUAUCAAAAUCAAAACGAGUUAUCAAUUAUUAUCAGGCACAUCAUAUGUCUCUACUUCUUAUUGUAAUACUUUUAUAUGAUCUAUCAAACACUCGGGCCUUUAUCACGAACUCGAAUAAGCCGUUACUAGCUAAUUUGGAGCCGUAUUGUUUGUACAGUUGGCCUCAAUAACACAGACAUUUUACCUAAAAACAUUUUCGGAAUAACAAGUUUUCUGGAUUAUGUCGUUUUUUUUGAAAACGUCCAGAAAGCAGAUUUUGUCAUAUUACUGGAUAUAUUACAAGCGGUAAUUCGCCAAAACGGAUUUGUUUCGAGCACUUGAAAGUCAUUGCGUGUUGUAAUCUUGAACACAUUUUCAUAAAGUAGGAUGUUGAUAUCUAAAAUAAAAAUAAAAAAUGUAUUAUUGCAGCCGUUAAGAAUCCCUGUGCCACUGAACUGUAGUUUUUACUAUAUACAGUAACCUCCCCUUAACUUCCGUUUGGAUGCAACUGUAGAACACUUCUGAAUUCCGCGCCCGGGUCGCACUUCAAACUGAUAUUUUAGAAACAAAUCGUCACUUUCACACA
Molecule: unclassified non-coding RNA, 5412 nt
Filed under: Mizuhopecten yessoensis (Yesso scallop)
Lineage: Eukaryota; Metazoa; Mollusca; Bivalvia; Pectinida; Pectinidae
Description: myosin-IIIa-like, transcript variant X1
Source: RNAcentral